This is an RNA transcript of Sipha flava (yellow sugarcane aphid), 2246 nucleotides long. It is a transcript of the gene named neuropeptides capa receptor, with no coding region annotated. NCBI's taxonomy places the organism in Eukaryota, Metazoa, Arthropoda, Insecta, Hemiptera, Aphididae. The record is from RefSeq and is a predicted model, not a curated record. The transcript is spliced from 8 exons.
UGCUCCCGUACGCACUCGUCUACCGCGCUCAUCCCGUGCCAAUAACUAUUGCUAUAUUUGUUCUCACUCAAAAGCGCACGAAUGAUGUUUUACGAUUUUUUUCCGGUCGUUAUUAGUUCACUCGAGUCGUUCUUUUGUUUUGCGUCCCGCGCGGUAAUGUAAGACACUUCGGGCAGAAUGCUAUUGUUUAGUAGUUGAAAAUUAUAACACACGGGGCUGCGUGUAAAUGGACGCCGUGCUCGGUGCCGCGGUGCUAACGACGACAACAUGAGCAACACGACGGGCACCGGUUCGUACCUGGUGCAGCUCGAAGAGGAUGCGAACGAGACGAUGGAGAGUUACCUGUUGAGGACCCGCGGGCCCAAGCAUCUGUCGCUGAACAUAGUCGUGCCCAUCACCGCCAUUUACGUGUUCAUCUUCGUCACAGGCGUGAUCGGAAACAUAGCCGUCUGCGUGGUGAUCGUCCGCAACAACUUCAUGCACACGGCCACUAACUACUACCUGUUCAGCUUGGCCGUGUCCGAUCUCACACUAUUGCUACUAGGAUUACCAAAUGAUCUCAGCGUAUAUUGGCAACAGUACCCGUGGCCUUUGGGUGAAGUGCUUUGUAAAUUCCGUGCUUUAGUUUCAGAAAUGACUUCGUAUACGUCGGUGUUGACCAUCGUGGCUUUUUCAAUGGAAAGGUAUUUAGCCAUUUGUCAUCCUCUACACUCGUACGCCAUGUCCGGGUUAAAAAGAGCCGUCCGCAUUAUCGCAGUCGUAUGGGUCUUUUCAUUUUUGGCCGCUCUACCGUUCGCCAUGUUCACCACGGUCGAUUACGUAGAUUUCCCACCAGGGUCAGGAUAUCCGUUGUACGAGAGCGCAUUUUGCGCGAUGCUGGAUAAGAACGUACCGACGGGAGUGCCUAUAUACGAGCUGAGUUCACUGUUAUUCUUUCUCGUCCCGAUGGUGAUAAUCAUAAUACUGUAUGUGCUUAUUGGACUGCAAAUUAGACAAAGUUCCAGACACUCUUUGGGCAAACAGAUGCAAGGUGCCGUGCACGGAGAAACCAAACAGAUCCAAUCUAAAAGGUCAAUAGUGAGGAUGCUAGCGGCCGUCGUCAUAGCGUUCUUCCUGUGCUGGGCCCCGUUCCACGCGCAGCGGCUGCUCUACCUGUACGCCAAGGACGCUCCGUACUACCCGCAGGUGAACGAGCUACUGUACACGAUCGCGGGCUGCUUCUACUACUUCUCGUCUACGGUCAACCCGAUCCUGUACAACCUGAUGUCGAUGAAGUACCGGCGGGCGUUCCGGGAGACGCUGUGCGGGUACUCGGGACAGCGCAGGAACCGGAUGUCGCGGGACCUGCAGUCCAGCUUCCGGGACACGACCGUGCCGCUGAACACGAUGACCAGCACCACGGAGUUCCGAAAGUCGGUGCACAGGUCCACGCGACACCUGCAGCAGGAGGAUUACUCGACCGCCGGCCCCGUGCCCACCAUCACCGCCACCGCCAGCGCCAACGCCGCGACCCAAGACGACGAACGUUCGUCGUCCGCGGCCGACGUGCUGGUGAUGAUCUCGCCGGCCAACGGGAACGCGCAGUGCUACAAAACGCUGCUCAGAGUUACCGUGGGUUCGAAACAGGCCGCGUCCAAGAACUCGAAUAGCUACGAGGCUCAAACCGCGCCGAGCCCACACUGUAAUGAAAUCGAAACUUGUAUUUAACGCGCGUUCGGCCGUACGAAGAAUGCACAUUAGCGGAUUAACGCAGCGAUACACUUACAAUCACUUUUCACUUUUCAACCGACCAUGACGCGCCCGUUGAACGAAUAAAUUGUAAGCUUGUAAUCUUGUAUAAGUUACCAAUUACUAUUUACGAGUUUAUUUACAAUUAUUCUUUUAAUCUAUGGACUAAGAUUACCGUUCAAUUUGAAUCAAACUUGAAAAGUAUUUAAAAUUCAGAACUAAUUAACCGAUUUUGAUGAAAUUUGGUACAGAGAUAUAAUAGACCUUGAAGAAGGACAUAGGCUACCUUUUGUCGCGAAAAAAAAGGUAAGUUUCAGUACACCUGAUAAUGCCCGGACGAGCAAUUGUUGUUUCGUUCUUGUUACAAAAACCAAAAAAACGAAAAGGAACCUCACUCUCAUAUACCUGAGUGUGCACCCAGAAGACGGUGAACAAGUUUAUUUUACUGAAAAUAAUUACCAAGAGUGACUAUCUUCUCCUCUAAGUACAAUACGAUAAAAAUACAUAAUAAUUCAAAA